RNAcentral lists this ribosomal RNA (981 nucleotides) under Triticum aestivum (bread wheat). RNAcentral's name for it is "partial small subunit ribosomal RNA". Lineage: Eukaryota; Viridiplantae; Streptophyta; Magnoliopsida; Poales; Poaceae. The record is from RNAcentral.
AUGCGAGCCCCGUCAGCCAUGGCUUUCAAGCCCACUCAUGCACGAACCGCCGACGGCGAAAGGAAUGCCAAGAAGGGGAAGCACAGCAGCUACACGACCUCACAAACGAGCUUCAGCCGGCCAGCGAGCCGCCGCGUGCAGGCCCCCGCGCCCGUCGUCGACCGGCGAGAAGACGCCACGAUCGCGUUCAUCAAGGCGCACGCGGACCGCAAGGACAAAUUGCUCGUUUCCUCGGAGCGGCCGCACCUCCGCGUCCGUGCCGACGCCAUGCGCUCCCUGACCGUGCCCCUGUCCCAGGACGGGCCGGAGCGGAAGAUUUCCGGCGUUGUCCUGGACGCGUACCUCGAACUGCUCCGCCGCCGCCAGGGCGCCGAGCACGGCAAGAACGCCCGCCGCGUCCUCCUGCUGGGAGUCGAGGAGCAGGACUGGCUCGAGUACCUGGGCUCCCUGCCAAGAACGGACGAACACCUGACGGACCAGGACGCCGCCGACGUGGCGGCGACGGCCGCUAGGUACCUCCAGAACGACAUGGUGUUCUUCCUGGUGAACCACAGGGAGCACUUCUUCGUCGCGGUGCUCAACUUCGCCAAAGCCGAGUACCAGGUGCUGGACUCCGGGAACUACGCGCGGUACAACGGCGUACGGUUCUACGAGGCGGCGUUGUCCAAGAUACGGGACGGCGUGCGGCGGUGCAUGGAGGAGGCCGGUCGGGCACACGUCGCCGGAUGGAGAGUGCGUCUGGAGCCGGGCCUCCCGGAGCAGAACGACGAGUCGUCGUGCGGCUUGUUCGCGCUGAAGUGGAUGGAGCUGUGGGACGGGGAGGAGCUGGCGCGGAGUUUCUCCAUGGACGACGUGCACGCGUUCCGGACGAAGCUGGCCGAGGAGCUCGUCUUCUCCGAGCUGAAUGAGAUGCAGGACGUGAAACAGGAGAUCGAAUCGAAGAUGACGUAUCUGCGUUUCAAGAAACAUUCUUCGUCGUAA